GCGUGUGUGACGGCCCAGAUACAAGAUGUUUUCACUGACAUGUCUGCUCUGUGUCUUUUAUCUUUGUAUAGAAGCUUCUUAUGGACAGUUUGUACUGGAUCAGACUCCGGAAUCUAUCUCAGUGUUUCCCGGAGAGAACGCAGUGAUAUAUUGUAAGUCAAGAUCUACUGUUACUGCGGACUCAAUCAGUUACAUACACUGGUACCAGAAGAAAGGAGAUCAGCCUCCAACACUUCUUAUCUAUCUAGCAAUGAAUCGUCAGUCUGGAGUCCCGGAGAGGUUCAGCGGCAGUAGAUCCGGAUCUCAGUAUCACGAUUUCACUCUUACAAUCAGUGGAGCACAACUGGAAGACGCAGCCAACUAUUACUGUAGUCAAAGUGGUUAUAACACUCCAUACACACAGUGAUACCGAGCCGUACAAAAACCUCCUUCCUCUGUACUGAGGAGACUUCUGUUUGCACCUCCUAUGUUUAUUUGUCUUUGUGCAGAAAGUGUUUUAUUGAAAUUAUAACAUUUUAAGAUACUA
Molecule: non-coding RNA, 526 nt
Organism: Rana temporaria (common frog)
Lineage: Eukaryota; Metazoa; Chordata; Amphibia; Anura; Ranidae
Source: the annotation of a RefSeq genome assembly